Molecule: unclassified non-coding RNA, 329 nt
Filed under: soil metagenome
Description: partial contains 5.8S ribosomal RNA, internal transcribed spacer 2, and large subunit ribosomal RNA
Rfam family: 5.8S ribosomal RNA (bases 1-120)
Source: RNAcentral
GAUGAAGAACGUAGCGAAAUGCGAUAAGUAAUGUGAAUUGUAGAAUUCAGUGAAUCAUCGAAUCUUUGAACGCACAUUGCGCCCUCUGGUAUUCCGGGGGGCAUGCCUGUUCGAGCGUCAUUAUAACCACUCAAGCUCUCGCUUGGUAUUGGAGUUCGCGAUCUCGCGGCUCCUAAAAUCAGUGGCGGUGCCUGUCGGCUCUACGCGUAGUAAUACUCCUCGCGAUUGAGUCCGGUAGGUUUACUUGCCAGCAACCCCCAAUUUUUACAGGUUGACCUCGGAUCAGGUAGGGAUACCCGCUGAACUUAAGCAUAUCAAUAAGCGGAGGA